Molecule: ribosomal RNA, 253 nt
Filed under: uncultured bacterium
Lineage: Bacteria
Description: partial 16S ribosomal RNA
Rfam family: Bacterial small subunit ribosomal RNA
Source: RNAcentral
UACGGGGGGGGCAAGCGUUGUUCGGAAUUACUGGGCGUAAAGGGCUCGUAGGCGGCCAACUAAGUCAGACGUGAAAUCCCUCGGCUUAACCGGGGAACUGCGUCUGAUACUGGAUGGCUUGAAUCCGGGAGAGGGAUGCGGAAUUCCAGGUGUAGCGGUGAAAUUCGUAGAUAUCGGGAGGAACACCAGUGGCGAAGGCGGCGACCUGGGCCAAUAUUGACGCUGAGGUGCGAAAGCGUGGGGAGCAAACAGG